GAAAGCCCACAGGACUGGUCAAAUGGGAAGAGAUACAGCGGGGCUAGGAGUACCAUCUAGCCUGUGACGGAUGGCAAGGCUCACUUUCACAUCCACUCUUUUCUUCAUUCAUUCCAAACAACCUCAAGAGGUCAGCUGGCCCAGGUUCCUGCCUGAGGUCAGCAAGAGGGAACUGAUUAGGAAGAGCAGACAGUGUCUUUCACACAGAGGAGGACAAGCCAGGCAGGAGCAAAGCUUUUUCAGAACAGCAGA
This is a non-coding RNA of Odocoileus virginianus texanus, 252 nucleotides long. The record is from RefSeq and is a predicted model, not a curated record. NCBI's taxonomy places the organism in Eukaryota, Metazoa, Chordata, Mammalia, Artiodactyla, Cervidae.